AAGGACAAACGUAACCUGGGACAAAAUACGUUUCCCUUGAAACAUAAUUGAGAAUGCAGUUCAGUUGUAUGGGACCAAAGUUUUAGAAGACAGAGC
Etheostoma spectabile (orangethroat darter) is the source of this 96-nucleotide long non-coding RNA. RefSeq lists it as uncharacterized. The transcript has 3 exons. The record is from RefSeq and is a predicted model, not a curated record. NCBI's taxonomy places the organism in Eukaryota, Metazoa, Chordata, Actinopteri, Perciformes, Percidae.